Molecule: long non-coding RNA, 1531 nt
Organism: Trachemys scripta elegans
Lineage: Eukaryota; Metazoa; Chordata; Testudines; Emydidae
Exons: 5
Source: RefSeq, a predicted model, not a curated record
CUGUGCAAGCCGUCAGCCAAUCAGGGAAGGGCCUACUGAGAGCCAAUCAGGGCCGAGAUUAGAGCCAGCCAAUCAGGGCUAGGCUAGGCCCUAUAUAAUGGCUGCCCAGGAGAGCAGCAGGUCGUCUGUCCCAGAAUUUCAUGGGGGAAGGUCUGUCUCCAGAGCAGGAGACCAGCAUCUCGGGCUGGGCAGUACUGCAUCUGGCCAUCCGGUGGCCGAGACAAAUUGUAACCGGCCCUUGAGACAAGGGGCUAGACUUUGGGGGUUGCGGUUGGCCACCGAGGCAGGUGCAAGGACUGUUGCUAACCCCCGCCCCUGGAAUGGGGUGAGGAUGGACUAGUGGGCACUGCUGGAGGGGCAGUGGCCUGAAGGGCAGUGUCAAGCGGUGAGCAACGCGGCUCCAGAUGCCAAUGGAGAACAAGAGAAGGAUGGGAUGCUGACAGCAGAGGGCGUUCCCCAUCAACUGAGCUAAUUCCCAGAGCGACCAGCGGGAGGCGCCAUGCUGGAAUAGGAGCCUCCUUCCAGCUGUCUUCCAGGCCCUGGGAUCUGGCACAGCCUCCAGGACGGGCGCUUCCUGUAGCUGAGCCACGUCAGGGAGCAGUGGGGACGGGUCACCUCGUCCCAGCAAUGCCGGCUCUCAAAGAGGCUUAGAUGGAAGACCCCAGUCCCUCAUGGAGAGGCUGUGUCCAGGAUCCUGGAGACUGUUGCUUGCUGCAGGAGGUUUGAGCGGGGAGAGAUCGCUCACUGUCACAACCCAGGGGUCUCCAACCCGGGUCUGCAGGGUUCAUGGGAGCAGCCACGCUCCAACCCUCCACCUCGAAGCCUGCUGAAAAUUGCUUCCCUCGGACCCAUGAAGUUCAGCCCCAGUUUGAGGCUCCACUCCUGAGGUCCUAUUGGAGGAGUCCCAGGAAAGCUCCCUGGCCCUGCGUACGACAGUAGCAGGAACACGAAGCUGACUGAACACCAGGCCUGCUCCCGGUUCUGGACCAUGCGCUGCCUGGUUCUGCUGCCGCUCCCCUGGCUUGAUUUCCUGGCAUCUGAGUUGUGGUGGUGAUAGCACGUUUGUCUUUUGCUGCUGAUCUUCCAGUACCCUGACCCGGCUGACUCUCCACUCCUGUCAUGGCUCCCCAUCCAUCCUGGAGCUGAACCCCAGAUGGGAGCUGAUGGAUUGUCCUUGGUGGGCCAUGUUCUUGUGUGUGAUGAGAGGGCCAGGAGCAGAUGCACCACGCCUGGCCAGGACCAGGCUAAACAGCCUGUAAUGCUAGACAGUCAGCCCGUGAGCCCAGUUUGCAGAAUGUGGAAGAGCCCUUUGGCGAGGCGUUGGAGGAUUCACCAUGAAGGCGGCAGCAGCGGCAGUGCCUGGGUCCCCAUGGGCCAAGCCUCCACUCCUGCCAAUCCAGGCUAAUCUCCCCCUGCUCUCAGUGGGGUUUGGCUUUAGCUGCUGGGCCUGUGAGCCUAGACCAGGGGUCUCAAACUCAAAUGACCACGAGGGCUGCAUGAGGACUAGUUCAUUGGCCUGAGGGCCACAUCA